This is a non-coding RNA of Oceanobacillus oncorhynchi, 183 nucleotides long. It matches the Rfam family "6S / SsrS RNA". From Rfam's summary of the family: E. coli 6S RNA was the first non coding RNA to be sequenced, but its function was unknown until recently. It consists of 184 nucleotides that fold into an extended hairpin structure with a large single-stranded internal bulge. The record is from Rfam. NCBI's taxonomy places the organism in Bacteria, Bacillati, Bacillota, Bacilli, Caryophanales, Bacillaceae.
AUCAUCCUGAUGUGUACGUUAACAAUUGGUAUUUUGACCGAACACCUAUAAGUUAGGGAGUCCGAUUGGUCUUUAAAGUGCAUGCAUGCCUCAAGCAGGAAGCAUAAAACCUUUAAAGCAGGACACCCACCUGCCAAAAGCGGGAUCAAAACUUUAUUGUUUGACGGCACUAUCGGGAUUACG